RNAcentral lists this ribosomal RNA (1036 nucleotides) under Cellulomonas iranensis. RNAcentral's name for it is "bacterial SSU rRNA". It matches the Rfam family "Bacterial small subunit ribosomal RNA", at positions 36 to 1087 of the family's 1533-position model. Lineage: Bacteria; Bacillati; Actinomycetota; Actinomycetes; Micrococcales; Cellulomonadaceae. The record is from RNAcentral.
CUUGCGGGCGUGCUUACCAUGCAAGUCGAACGGUGAACCCCAGCUUGCUGGGGGGAUCAGUGGCGAACGGGUGAGUAACACGUGAGUAACCUGCCCUUCACUCUGGGAUAAGCCUUGGAAACGGGGUCUAAUACCGGAUACGAGACGCACGGGCAUCUGUAGCGUCUGGAAAGAUUUAUCGGUGAAGGAUGGACUCGCGGCCUAUCAGCUUGUUGGUGGGGUAAUGGCCUACCAAGGCGACGACGGGUAGCCGGCCUGAGAGGGCGACCGGCCACACUGGGACUGAGACACGGCCCAGACUCCUACGGGAGGCAGCAGUGGGGAAUAUUGCACAAUGGGCGCAAGCCUGAUGCAGCGACGCCGCGUGCGGGAUGACGGCCUUCGGGUUGUAAACCGCUUUCAGCAGGGAAGAAGCGAGAGUGACGGUACCUGCAGAAGAAGCGCCGGCUAACUACGUGCCAGCAGCCGCGGUAAUACGUAGGGCGCAAGCGUUGUCCGGAAUUAUUGGGCGUAAAGAGCUCGUAGGCGGUUUGUCGCGUCUGCUGUGAAAACCUCAGGCUCAACCUGGGGCUUGCAGUGGGUACGGGCAGACUAGAGUGCGGUAGGGGUGACUGGAAUUCCUGGUGUAGCGGUGGAAUGCGCAGAUAUCAGGAGGAACACCGAUGGCGAAGGCAGGUCACUGGGCCGCAACUGACGCUGAGGAGCGAAAGCAUGGGGAGCGAACAGGAUUAGAUACCCUGGUAGUCCAUGCCGUAAACGUUGGGCACUAGGUGUGGGGUCCAUUCCACGGAUUCCGUGCCGCAGCAAACGCAUUAAGUGCCCCGCCUGGGGAGUACGGCCGCAAGGCUAAAACUCAAAGAAAUUGACGGGGGCCCGCACAAGCGGCGGAGCAUGCGGAUUAAUUCGAUGCAACGCGAAGAACCUUACCAAGGCUUGACAUACACCGGAAACGUGCAGAGAUGUGCGCCCCGCAAGGUCGGUGUACAGGUGGUGCAUGGUUGUCGUCAGCUCGUGUCGGAAAUGUUGGGUUAAGUCC